AAACUUUCAACAACGGAUCUCUUGGCUCUCGCAUCGAUGAAGAACGCAGCGAAAUGUGAUAAGUAAUGUGAAUUGCAGAAUUCAGUGAAUCAUCGAAUCUUUGAACGCAUCUUGCACUCUUUGGUAUUCCGAAGAGUAUGUCUGUUUGAGUGUCAU
RNAcentral lists this ribosomal RNA (156 nucleotides) under Rhodosporidiobolus microsporus. RNAcentral describes it as "5.8S rRNA". It matches the Rfam family "5.8S ribosomal RNA". From Rfam's summary of the family: 5.8S ribosomal RNA (5.8S rRNA) is a component of the large subunit of the eukaryotic ribosome. It is transcribed by RNA polymerase I as part of the 45S precursor that also contains 18S and 28S rRNA. Functionally, it is thought that 5.8S rRNA may be involved in ribosome translocation. RNAcentral also lists the same sequence under 1 other name. Lineage: Eukaryota; Fungi; Basidiomycota; Microbotryomycetes; Sporidiobolales; Sporidiobolaceae. The record is from RNAcentral.